This 498-nucleotide ribosomal RNA is filed under the name uncultured bacterium. Its description in RNAcentral is "partial 16S ribosomal RNA". It matches the Rfam family "Bacterial small subunit ribosomal RNA", at positions 28 to 523 of the family's 1533-position model. The record is from RNAcentral.
GAUGAACGCUAGCGGCAGGCCUAAUACAUGCAAGCUGAACGGUAAGCUCUGUAGCAAUAUGGAGCCUAGAGUAGCGUAAGGGUGCGUAACACGUAUGCAAUCUGCCCACAACAGGAGGAUAGCUCUUCGAAAGAGGAAUUAAUACUUUAUAACACCAUUUGAGGGCAUCUGAGGAUGGUUAGACUACGGGGUUGUGGAUGAGCAUGCGCAUGAUUAGUUAGUUGGUGCGGGUAACGGCCCACCAAGACGAUGAUCAUUAGGGGAACUGAGAGGUUGGUCCCCCACACUGGCACUGAGAUACGGGCCAGACUCCUACGGGAGGCAGCAGUAGGGAAUAUUGGACAAUGGGUGAGAGCCUGAUCCAGCCAUGCCGCGUGCAGGAAGAAAGCCUUCUGGGUUGUAAACUGCUUUUUUCAGGGGAUAAAAUACCGGUGCGCCGGGAAUUGCAAGUACCUGGAGAAUAAGCCACGGCUAACUACGUGCCAGCCGCCGCCGUAA